Long non-coding RNA from Passer domesticus (house sparrow), 306 nucleotides. RefSeq lists it as uncharacterized. The transcript is spliced from 3 exons. The record is from RefSeq and is a predicted model, not a curated record. Lineage: Eukaryota; Metazoa; Chordata; Aves; Passeriformes; Passeridae.
CAGAGUCUUCCCACCUGGAUCUUCCUCUGAGGCCACCAGAGAUAGGAAGAAAAAGAAAGGUGAAAUAUCCAAGCUGCUGCUCCCAUCCCUCCUGCAAGGGCAGUGACUGGAAGAAAUCUGAAGAAUUCAAAGAAUCUGCCUGGAUGUGUGGGAAUGGUUGGUCAUGGGACAAUCUAUUCAAGUCCAGGGAUCCAGCUGGCACCUGUCACGAGUCCCACCCUCACUGUGGGGACAGCACAAGGAGCAAUGUCACCCCACAGCCCUGUGAUGGCAUUCCUUGGAUCAUUAACUCCUGACCAGCACCAC